Long non-coding RNA from Manihot esculenta (cassava), 1570 nucleotides. RefSeq lists it as uncharacterized. The transcript has 4 exons. NCBI's taxonomy places the organism in Eukaryota, Viridiplantae, Streptophyta, Magnoliopsida, Malpighiales, Euphorbiaceae. The record is from RefSeq and is a predicted model, not a curated record.
AGGCAAUAGAUCGAUUCUGUAGAGUCAGUGAGCACCUAACACUGCAACAAGAUCACGCAACUGAGCCACGACAAGCAAAUCCAAUUAACUAAUCCCAUAUCCAAUUGUCGAAGAUCUAAAGAGAGACUUGUGUUGUCGGUAGUUAAUUAAUUGUUUACUGCUACUUGUACCAUCUCUACUCUCUGCUACCCAUCCACCAAUCUAAUAUAACAGUACUAUGCCUCCUCCUCCUCCUUCUGGGUUGAGGGUUUCAGACAGAAGAGGGGAGCUUCUUUUUGCUAUCCUUUUUUUUUUUCUCUGCAUCUCUCUCUUUCCCAAAAACUGGUGUUUAUUACCGUUGCAGCGAGUUUUUUUCCUUCUUUUCCGGUUAUAGCAUUGCUGGGUGUUCUUCAUGUUCUUCAAAACUGGCAUGCAACAAAUUCAGAUUCAGCAUCUAUCAGUGAUUCUUGAAAUUGUACGUUGGAGGCUAUAUCAUAUAUUCCACCAGUCUCCUCCACAGUCGUCCGGCGCCACACCCCGGCCAAUUAAAUGCACACUCGCUAGCUAAUAAAGGAGUAAUUACCUUUGAUUGAUUAAUCAAGCUUUUUUAGGCAAGUCUCCUGGUCAUGUUUUCUAACUAAAAUUUGAGUUUAGAGUAAGUACUCCUUCAAUCAUUUAAUUUAGAGACGGCAUUCUUCACCCUUUUUCUAUUAUUUCUUGGUUAACUAACACCUGCUAGUCAAUUUAAAAAGUAUAAAAACACUGCAGAUCGAGAGACAAGUAAAGUUGUUGGCUUUUGAUAAAUAGGCAACAUGUCGUGCAGUGCUCAAAGAAAACAACUUGAAAAGCCUUAUGGAGAUAAGAUGGUUGCCGCUUCAGGGGUUUCUCUCCACCAAAAAUUACGGCUUAAUCAACUGAAAUUAACUCAUCGUCACUCGCUCUUGUAAGUACAUAUGUGUACGCCUAACUCUACUUUGAUUACAUCAACGUUGCCUGUCUAUGUGCCGUGAUUUUUUUGUUGUCUUUUAACUUUGCUGGUUAUGAAGAGUAGUUGAUGAUAAACAAUAGCUCUUUGCCCUUGUAAAUUAUAGUUUUUUAGAGCCUCUCAGGGCAAACAUAUGAUUAAGUUGAGUUUAAGCCUCUGAUGAGGAGAUUUUGGAACACGAUCAUGGAGAUUCUUGUUCCAUCAUCUCUCGUACAGGGUGACUGCCUUUGGGACAAUGUGUUCAACAAACGAAAGAUACAGGAACGGCCAAAGGUAGUAUUUUUAUAUGGUGUGGAUGCUAUCUGCUAGCAGGUGCAAGGUUGGCAACUGCAAUCUGAUAUAUAUAUGUGAAAAUACAAAAUAAUACAAGGUUACUUGUGGUUUGUAAACUUUUAGAUCCAAUGAUGUUUACUUGAAUUAACCUUGUUUGUUAUCGGAAAGUAUCUUUCAAGAAAAUAUUUUAUGUAUUUUAUGAAAUUUGGAAGUAAUUACAGAAUUUCGAAUAUUUCCUUUAUGGGUUUUGCAUUUAAGAGAACCACCCAUGAUAUUCGAGUAUUUGGGUAAGACUAUAUAUUAAGAUUGAAAUAAUAGGGGCCAAAAAGUUAU